UACGGAGGCUCCAAGCGUUAUCCGGAUUCAUUGGGUUUAAAGGGUGCGUAGGCGGAACGAUAAGUCAGUGGUGAAAGCCCUCAGCUUAACUGAGGAACUGCCAUUGAUACUGUCGAUCUUGAGUACAUUUGAUGUGGGCGGAAUGUGUCAUGUAGCGGUGAAAUGCUUAGAUAUGACACAGAACACCGAUUGCGAAGGCAGCUCACAAAACUGUAACUGACGCUGAGGCACGAAAGCGUGGGGAUCAAACAGG
RNAcentral lists this ribosomal RNA (253 nucleotides) under uncultured bacterium. Its description in RNAcentral is "partial 16S ribosomal RNA". It matches the Rfam family "Bacterial small subunit ribosomal RNA", at positions 524 to 776 of the family's 1533-position model. The record is from RNAcentral.